RNAcentral lists this ribosomal RNA (48 nucleotides) under Lysobacter sp. cf310. RNAcentral describes it as "partial 16S rRNA. Bacterial SSU". Lineage: Bacteria; Pseudomonadati; Pseudomonadota; Gammaproteobacteria; Lysobacterales; Lysobacteraceae. The record is from RNAcentral.
UUUAAGUGAAGAGUUUGAUCCUGGCUCAGAGUGAACGCUGGCGGCAGG